UAUGAGCAACCUGCCCUUCAGAGGGGGACAACAGUUGGAAACGACUGCUAAUACCGCGUAACGUAUGAUGGGGGGCAUCCCUGACAUACCGAAAAGGAGCAAUCCGCUAGGAAAAGAUGGGCUCAUAUCUGAUUAGCUUGUUGGCGGGGUAACGGCCCACCAAGGCGACGAUCAGUAGCCGGACUGAGAGGUUGAACGGCCACAUUGGGACUGAGAUACGGCCCAGACUCCUACGGGAGGCAGCAGGUGGGGAAUAUUGGGCAAUGGGCGAAAGCCCUGACCCAGCAACGCCGCGUGAAGGAAGAAGGUCUUCGGAUUAGUAAACUUCUUUUAUGAGGGACGAAGGACGUGACGGUACCUCAUGAAUAAGCCACGGCUAACUACGUGCCAGCCGCCGC
RNAcentral lists this ribosomal RNA (398 nucleotides) under uncultured bacterium. Its description in RNAcentral is "bacterial SSU rRNA". It matches the Rfam family "Bacterial small subunit ribosomal RNA", at positions 116 to 518 of the family's 1533-position model. The record is from RNAcentral.